CCAGGCAGGUCGCAUAAGUCUCCUGCCUCAAGUAUGGGUCUCUAAAGGAAGAUCUAUCUUUGAGAGAAUCUCAUGCAUGAGACCAUCUUUAGGGGACAGCUUUGUCUACACGCACUUAAACUCUUCAGUCACUUUACCACAUAAACCACAGAAUAGAUUUCCUUCCAGGAAUUGAAAGAAAAGUAACUGAGAACCUAAUCAGCUGUUACCUCCUGAAAACAGCAACAUGGGUCUAAUGGAAUUUAAAUUAAAUUGAAAAUAUUUUUCAUAACUGGAGAAAAUAACUAAAUCUGCCUUCAAAAGAUUUGAGGCUCCUGCUAAGAUACAGUGUUAGUUUUCCAAACAUAACAUACCACCAUGCAGUAUUUCUGAUCAUGCUCAGACUAGAACAAGCAUGACAAUCUUUUACUCAAGUUAGUUAAACAGAAUCAUUCAAUGCAGCUCAAAUAAUCUUUUUCAUGCCAUAGCUCCAUAACAUCGGAGGGGAAAGAAGUAUGUUGAAAAAUCUUUAUAGUAGAGAAAAUCCUUCCAGCUAAACUAGAAGCCACAUAAGUUCUGUCAGAAGGUGAUGGAAAGGAGAAGUUUCCUGGAUGUUAUUUUGGAGGUUCCCUUUAAACCAACCUGAACAGAUUUCUUUGUGUUGUGCUAAAAGGCACACAUAUGAACUAGUAUCUCUCUUACUAGUGACCAGGGAUGGGUGGUGGUGGGCUUUGUUGAAAAAAUCCAACAUUUCUGUGAGGUGUUCUUUGUAAAUAAAAUCACAAAUAGUGAGUAGUUCCAUUUAGGUCAGCUUCUUUCUGGCCAAGCACUGCUGACAGCUGCUCCAGCUCCACCACAGCACAGACAGCACAGACUCCAGCCCCAGGAAGGCACAUGGAAGCCACCAACAGAGGCCACACCGAUAGGGAACUCACAACUUUCACAUUUUACCUUUAUUCACAAUGCAAUUCUCUUCUGAAAAAGUCAGUUGACCUUUGCUUUCACAUCUGCAAAAUGAUGUUAAAAGUAACGAUCACAGGGAAAGAUGUGAACCUCACUGGCAAAUGCAGGUCCUCAAAACCACUGGUUUCCUUAAGCACAGACUGAACCACAGUCAUUCUCAAACUCAGGCACCAUCAUACAGAUAAUACCGCAGGCAGCAGCACAAGCUUCAGGAGUUACCUCACGUCUCCCAUCCCACUCCCAGCCUUUUGCUUCCUCCCUAGCACACAGUGCACCACCCAGUUGUGCUGAGCCAGAUCAGGGAACUGAUCUAGCUUCAAAACAAAGAACUUCUCCUUUUUUCCCCCCACCCCUCGCUUUUUAAAGCUAGUUCAAUUGCCUCAUCUGGAUGCCAGUCCCACAAACAGCUGCACCUUCACAAUCCCUUACGUCAGCACUGCUGCUGAACCACAUGGUGUUAUCUAUAACAUGUUGGGUUUGCAGUUUUGUUUGGGUUUCUUUUAAGAAAUAUCAUUAUGUAUGACCUACUGCCUUGGAGAAACUGGAGAAAGCUAAUGGCAGGAAGGGUGGGUAUCCCUCUCUCUGGAGGGAAAACGAGAAGGAAAUGCUCAGCAGUCAUCAGGUCUCUGAAUCUUUCUUCAAGUGAGCCUUUCUGCUCAGCCCUGAAGAAGCGAGCCUCUGGAAUAUAAACAGAAAUCCCCCACUCAUCAACUACAGAGCACACUUGAGCUGAACAGCUGUUUGCCUAUGAUAUCCUGGAAGCCUUUAGGCAUCUCAGGUAUGCUCAGACAAGAAAGAAUGUGAAGAAAGAAAAAGGGGCACAUACAAACUUCUUUUAAUGGCAUAAAAAAGUCAAGUCUGCCUAAUUCAAAUAACCCUGAUGAGCGAGGGAUUAUUCCUGUGUGCAAAGUGAGCCAACAGGACCUGAAAUCUAUUACCUCUUAUGAAUUGAAAGUUUAUUACUCUUUAUGGGCAUGCUGCAUGUGCACUUUGAAGGGGCUAAUUAAUUCUUUGUAAUAAUCUGUUUUCAAUUAGAAAAAUAAAGGGCUGUGAUGGGAGAUAGAUGCAAGUUCUGCAUUGCACUUUUUGCAGCAAACCAUCCCAAUACAAAUUUCCUGAUACUGCAGAUGUGAGUGCCCAUCUUUUGGCAGUUUGACACACCAAACACCUCUUUGCUCCUGAGAACCAGGAGAGCUCAACUUUGCUUAGAGAUGUUUCAUCUGAAUUUAUACUGCUAAACACAUUGCUUUGUUGCACUGGACUAGUUUCUAUCAUACGCAAGAGCGUGAUACACUAGGAUAGAGAAGAGACACUUUGCCUGAAUCUUUGCUUUCACUUCAACUUCCUCCAGAGGAGAAAACAACUAUUGUGCCAAGGAGCUCCAUUUCCACUGGAGAAAAACAUUAGCAACUUUCAAUCAAAACUGAAAAGAUAUAACUAACUACUCAUGGACUUUUUUUGGAUUAGGAAAACAGAAGCCCCAACUUAGUACAAGGAAUAUGCCUUUAUCUGAAAAACAGGCAGGGAGGGAAGAGGCUUUUAAACUAUCUUUUGGCAACAGCUGACAUUAGGCCCCAGUAUGCCUAUCUACAGCUAACGUAAUCACUGUUGCCAGUCAUAAUUUCAGAGCAUAAGGCAGCAUCAGUAAUUCCCCUGUCCAGAGGCCAGCAGCAGGAAGCAAUGGUUGAAUUUUAAAGUUUUUAAAAAAAGAGACAAAUAACACCAGCAUCUAAAGGUGCCUUAGAAUUGAUGAUACAGGGCUCAGCCUUAAGUGAAGGUUCUUAUACUGCACAUGCGCCAAGCACUGCCUUCUCCAUGGAGCACACAUCAAUGUUAGGAAAAAGGGAGAUGAUAGAUUUUUACAUCCAUCUUUCUUUGCAUUGCAGCACUGUAUAUGUAAAAAAAGAAGUAUUUUUUUUCAUGUGCAUUGCUGAGAUCUUCACAGGCAAUGUAACACAAGGCAUAUGUGCACAACCCGCUGGCAGGGGAUAAUCAACCACAGAUCUCCUUCUGAGUGUGCUGAGCAAAGCCUGGCACCCCUUCCACUGAUACCAGCAGGUCAGUGCUCUUGCCCAAAUUCUCCCAUUUGGUAACAACUGGAGAAACGGGCUGAGAAUGGAGAAUGGAGAAAUGGGUUAGACCUCUCCUGCAGGUUUCCCUGCCUGACUGACAUGCCUGAUCUUGUAAUUGACAGGACAGCUCAUCUCAUCCCCUCUUUUGAUUCUGGCUCCUGACCACUGGCUUUGUAGCUUGACUUCUCAUGCUGAAUGUGGCUCCCCAGUACCUUACUUCACUUUGCCCAGAUGCUCUCAGUAAGUGCCUUGGUUGUUACAGUGAUUAACUGAAAGCUGAUUAAGCAAAUAAUGGUCAGUUCAGAGUACAGAAGACAUCUGAGAAAGAUGAGGGAGACUGAUAGUGUGACCACUAGCAGAGCAGAAAGAAGAGAUUGAUGAUGUAUCACCACGAACAAUAAAGCACAAGAAACUCCUUGCCUGUACAAAGAGAUGAUCUGGACAAACAGCAGGAAACGGGUCAGUGCAGCGGUGUCUGGUUUGAAGGCUGUGA
Pezoporus occidentalis (night parrot) is the source of this 3507-nucleotide long non-coding RNA. RefSeq lists it as uncharacterized. The transcript has 2 exons. NCBI's taxonomy places the organism in Eukaryota, Metazoa, Chordata, Aves, Psittaciformes, Psittacidae. The record is from RefSeq and is a predicted model, not a curated record.